UACGAAGGGGGCUAGCGUUGCUCGGAAUCACUGGGCGUAAAGGGCUCGUAGGCGGCCAACUAAGUCAGACGUGAAAUCCCCAGGCUCAACCUGGGAACUGCGUCUGAUACUGGAUGGCUUGAAUCCGGGAGAGGGAUGCAGAAUUCCAGGUGUAGCGGUGAAAUGCGUAGAUAUCUGGAGGAAUACCGGUGGCGAAGGCGGCAUCCUGGACCGGCAUUGACGCUGAGGAGCGAAAGCCAGGGGAGCAAACGGG
This 253-nucleotide ribosomal RNA is filed under the name uncultured bacterium. Its description in RNAcentral is "partial 16S ribosomal RNA". It matches the Rfam family "Bacterial small subunit ribosomal RNA", at positions 524 to 776 of the family's 1533-position model. The record is from RNAcentral.